GCCUAGUUAGCUCGGUUGGUGGCGCAUCUGCCUUGUAAGCGCUAGGCCGCGGGUUCGAUUCCCGCCCGGGGCG
This 73-nucleotide transfer RNA is filed under the name Diaphorina citri (Asian citrus psyllid). It matches the Rfam family "tRNA". Rfam says of the family: Transfer RNA (tRNA) molecules are approximately 80 nucleotides in length. Lineage: Eukaryota; Metazoa; Arthropoda; Insecta; Hemiptera; Psyllidae. The record is from Rfam by way of RNAcentral.